This 253-nucleotide ribosomal RNA is filed under the name uncultured bacterium. Its description in RNAcentral is "partial 16S ribosomal RNA". It matches the Rfam family "Bacterial small subunit ribosomal RNA", at positions 524 to 776 of the family's 1533-position model. The record is from RNAcentral.
UACGGGGGGAGCAAGCGUUGUUCGGAUUUACUUGGCGUAAAGGGCUCGUAGGCGGCGCAACAAGUCACUUGUGAAAUCUCCGGGCUUAACCCGGAGCGGCCAAGUGAUACUGUCGUGCUAGAGUGCGGAAGGGGCUACUGGAAUUCUCGGUGUAGCGGUGAAAUGCGUAGAUAUCGAGAGGAACACCUGCGGCGAAGGCGGGUAGCUGGGCCGACACUGACGCUGAGGCGCGAAAGCCAGGGGAGCGAACGGG